This 408-nucleotide long non-coding RNA is filed under the name Vigna radiata. Its description in RNAcentral is "long non-coding RNA (VRAD_LNC016332)". Lineage: Eukaryota; Viridiplantae; Streptophyta; Magnoliopsida; Fabales; Fabaceae. The record is from RNAcentral.
UCAAAGCAUGCAAAGAGUACUUGACCCUCUGGAGAGGGAUCUUCAAGAUCUUGUUAGAGAUUUUUGACCAUUCCUCGAGUAAUGGGACCUUGAUGUAUCUUGGUGUGUGGCUCCCGCGUAUCACAACAAUGCAUCACAUAUCACUUAAAGACAUAAACAUAGAAGUACCCUGCGUGGCGCUUAGGCUCCCAGAAGUUGGCGCUCAACGCCCUAGCUUCUAUUUGCCUGAUGCUCAAUGCCAGAAGUUGGCGCUCAAUGCCCACGAGACAAUGAGUUAGCGCCCAAGAGUUGGAGGGCUGGCACUCGACGCCAUGACAGUAGCACCCCAACUUCUAAAGACCCUUGGACCCUCUAGACCUUGAGAAAACUCAGAAAACACUAUUGUAAUUCAUAUUGACCCUUAAAAAC